GAGAGUGAUGAUUUCACAGACUAGAGUCUCUGACAACUGCCCUUGAUGUCAACUAUAAAUCUGACUC
Molecule: small nucleolar RNA, 67 nt
Organism: Arvicanthis niloticus (Nile rat)
Lineage: Eukaryota; Metazoa; Chordata; Mammalia; Rodentia; Muridae
Product: small nucleolar RNA SNORD52
Source: RefSeq, a predicted model, not a curated record